Vidua chalybeata is the source of this 794-nucleotide long non-coding RNA. RefSeq lists it as uncharacterized. Lineage: Eukaryota; Metazoa; Chordata; Aves; Passeriformes; Viduidae. The transcript is spliced from 4 exons. The record is from RefSeq and is a predicted model, not a curated record.
GUCACGGGCGGGCCCGCCCUCAGCGGAGCGCGGGGAGGCGGGACCGGGGAGCCGGGCGGCGGCGGGCGGCGGAAGGGCUUGGAAUGUGCUGCCACACAGAGGCAGAGUUGAGGCUGCUUCUAAAGGGAAAGAGUGAAGGAAGAAAAUCCUUUUUGGUUAGAAAUUACCUGGAUUUCCUGCUGAGGACACCUCAUCGUCUAUCAGGGCUUUUUCCUUAUCCAAGAACUCGUGGUUUAGGUUGUUUUCCUAAGCACCUUUACAUGUCCUGAGGAUGAGCUGAGCACUAAACCAGAUGAACGAGCUGCAGGAGCCCAACUCUUGCCCACAUGGGGCUGACCUUUUGAAGGGCCACUUGAAGAGAGCAGAGGUUUGGCCAAGUGAUGAUUCCAAGCUCUGCAGUCCCUGGAUCAGUCCCAGGAAUCCAGCACCUCCUGCACAGACAUGGCUCAUGCUGCCUCUUCUGCUUCCUCCUCGCCUGGCUGCUGGCUGCAGUGAGAUAAGUCAGGUUUAAUCACUCCCAAGUCUUAUUCAUAUUGUUAUUCAGUGUUUGUGGGGUUGCAGCAGCAAUUUUGUGCAGAUCAGUAAUUCCUGAACACCUUAGAAGUGUUGAUUUCACCAUGUUCAUAAUAGAACUAUAGAAUCAUAAAAUCAUGGAGUGGUUUGGGUUGGAAGGGACCUUAAAAACCAUCUCAUUCCACCCCUGCCAUGGACUGGGACACCUUCCACUGGACCAGGUUGCUCCAAACCCCAUCCAGCCUGGCCUUAAACAGGUAUGAGAUGGCAGGGGGGUGGUU